UUUCCUCAGCCUUACUCCAGAGGCUCCACACAACCCAUGGAGUGCCUUGGCAUUGCCUGAGGAUACAGUGAAAGUGUUUCUGAACUGGAUGUCCAGAAGGGGACUUCAUCCCCUUUGAGGCUUACAGUUGGAACAAACAUU
Naja naja (Indian cobra) is the source of this 141-nucleotide small nucleolar RNA. Ensembl annotates it as small nucleolar RNA, H/ACA box 49. Its record names the gene SNORA49. Lineage: Eukaryota; Metazoa; Chordata; Lepidosauria; Squamata; Elapidae. The record is from Ensembl.